This is a long non-coding RNA of Setaria italica (foxtail millet), 724 nucleotides long. RefSeq lists it as uncharacterized. The transcript has 2 exons. NCBI's taxonomy places the organism in Eukaryota, Viridiplantae, Streptophyta, Magnoliopsida, Poales, Poaceae. The record is from RefSeq and is a predicted model, not a curated record.
AUCGUCAUUCAGACGUGCUUUGUGAUUCGGUUUGGUCAACGCCCGCCGUUUCCAGUGUUGUUUCCUGUGCUCAUUCCUGCCUUCGCUGUAUUCCCAGCUGAGCUCCCUUUCAUUCCAAAGAUCGUCUCCUGCCUUUCUUCACCACCGCUCUCGUGUCGCCCGCCCCCGCCCCCGUGCCCUCGCUGGAGCCGCUCAGCCCGGCCGUCCUCAACGCGCCCUCGCUGGAGCAGGUCGCCCCAGCCGUCCUCAACGCGACCUCGCCAUAGCAGCUCCUCUCUACGGACUGGCAAGUCCGGCUUCUGCCCAUCUUCUUCUUCUCUGUUCAGUUCACCAAAGAUGCGUAGAUCUGAUAGGUAAGCUAUGGAUAUGGGAGGAUACAUUUAAUAAGUACGUUGAAGUCAUGAACCGUCAGUUACACUGAUGGAGAAGUAAAGUAACUGCAAAUACAAAUAGCGUCUCUGGAGGCUGAACCGCUGAAGUAUUCUAGGGUCUCUCGGAUGGACAGAUGCAUUCAUCAAGAAGAUGUUGCCGCAAACCACAGGCAUACUAGAUUCUAUAAGUUUUUGUUACUUUUCCUAUGCUCAAUUUGGGUUGUGGAAGUGCUUGUUUCGGGCUGACGACUUGAUGUUAAUCUCAGCCUGUAAUUAAUUUGAUAGCAAUUACUCUUCAGUUUUGACAACCAAUUUAAUGCACUAAUAUAAUUCUUGAUACAAUCUUCAAUCCA